CCUGGCUCAGGAUGAACGCUAGCGGCAGGCUAACACAUGCAAGUCGAGGGCAGCACGGGUGGCAACACCUGGUGGCGACCGGCGCAAGGGUGCGUAACGCGUGAGCAACAUACCCGUCACAGGGGGAUAAGCGAUGGAAACGUCGUCUAAUACCGCAUAACACUUUGGGCGGCAUCGUCCGGAGUUGAAACUUACGAGGGUGACGGAUUGGCUCGCGAGACAUUAGCUAGUCGGCGGGGUAACGGCCCACCGAGGCAACGAUGUCUAGGGGUUCUGAGAGGAAGGUCCCCCACACUGGAACUGAGACACGGUCCAGACUCCUACGGGAGGCAGCAGUGAGGAAUAUUGGACAAUGGCCGGAAGGCUGAUCCAGCCAUGCCGCGUGAAAAGGAUGAAGGUCCUAUGGAUUGUAAACUUCUUUUGUACGGGAGCAAUAAGGGCGUCGAGACGUCCGAUGAGAGUACCGUACGAAUAAGCAUCGGCUAACUCCGUGCCAGCCGCUGC
RNAcentral lists this ribosomal RNA (504 nucleotides) under uncultured bacterium. RNAcentral describes it as "bacterial SSU rRNA". It matches the Rfam family "Bacterial small subunit ribosomal RNA", at positions 18 to 518 of the family's 1533-position model. The record is from RNAcentral.